RNAcentral lists this unclassified non-coding RNA (1300 nucleotides) under Bombus terrestris (buff-tailed bumblebee). RNAcentral's name for it is "misc RNA ENSBTSG00005027177.1". The record is from RNAcentral. Lineage: Eukaryota; Metazoa; Arthropoda; Insecta; Hymenoptera; Apidae.
CUUCCGCUUGAAAAUAGACUUGAACUUCGUGAAAGAGGAAUUUUUAGGAGCACGGAGGAUCGGUGAGAUCUGGUGGCGGGGUUAGGUGGGUUAUUAUGGGUUUGCAGAUGUGGAAUGUUGAGUUGAGAUUGAUCGACUACUUGGCAGAGGAUCACCGGUGUUCCCGAUUGAAUUAUCGUAUUAUUAGAAUGUACAUCUAUAUCUCGUAUAUCGUAUUAUUAGAAUGUAUAUCUAUCUAUAUCUUUUACAUUGUAUUAUUAGAAUGUACAUGUAUGUCUCUUGCAAUCGUAUUUUUAGAAGGUUCUUUUGAUAAGUAAGUUUUUAAUAACGUUAAGAAUUUGUAAUAAAUUCCCAGUUACUUUUACAUUUCUAGUCUAUCAGCGAUGGUAUGCUUUGUAUAAAAAUCGAAUAUCAUAUAAAAGUCGGCAUACUUGGGCUACAUACUUUUAAUUAUUUAAGACGUAGAAGAUUCACAAUUAGGAUCAUCGAGGGCCACUCAAACGGUCAAAUUAAACAGCACACGCGUCAUCACGGGCUCUAUAUGUUCCUAGGUGCACGUUGCCCUCGCCGCGUCUAAAUCGAGAUGCACUUCAAUCGAGCAGCCACGGCAACUAUACUUAAACUUAACGAACACAACGCAGCUCCAUAGCCAAUGCUGCUUAUUUACGGACUAAUUAAUUUCAACUUAAUUACGAAGAUUUUUGUCAAAGGUUCGAUCCAUUCGCGUAGCUUUCGUUUCGAUUUUCUCGAUCACUUUGAUCGUAGUUACUGCGGAAGAUCAUUCGUUGGAGAACUUUAUAUCUGACAGAAGAUAGCAAAACUCGAUAACUGUUUUAUAUCGUAUCUGAACUUUAAUCUUUGACAUGAUAAGCUCUUGAUUUCCGAGAUAAUGAACCGUCGAUUUCAUUUUUUAAAUAAAUGGCCUUCAUUUAUGAAAACAAAUUUAAACAGCAGAGUUGUCCGAUCUGCCAGACGAUGAUCCUAGUCUUCAGUUUCUAUUUUCUAAAUUGCUAAUUUUCGUAACAAACGAGCUCCUGAUUUCGAUUUUCGUAGCCUUCGAAUUCCAAAGUAUCGAUUUCCGAAAUGAUACAGCUCCAAUUUUCAUGGCUUUGGUUGUCAAAAAAUUAAAAACGUAGCGUUAUAAACAGCUCCAAAAAUUACUCUGAUAACGAAGGAUGACAAAAAGGAAGAUACAUACGCACGUAUCUAAAAUACAUUUAGAAAGCGACGUCCAAAUGAAGUUGGUCGAAACACGGUGUAUCACGGAGAAUUAGAAAGUCGUGACGUAUCUUGGUUUCUC